RNAcentral lists this ribosomal RNA (679 nucleotides) under Escherichia coli. Its description in RNAcentral is "partial 23S ribosomal RNA". It matches the Rfam family "Bacterial large subunit ribosomal RNA", at positions 2252 to 2925 of the family's 2925-position model. RNAcentral also lists the same sequence under 8 other names. The record is from RNAcentral. Lineage: Bacteria; Pseudomonadati; Pseudomonadota; Gammaproteobacteria; Enterobacterales; Enterobacteriaceae.
CAGUGUCUGGUGGGUAGUUUGACUGGGGCGGUCUCCUCCUAAAGAGUAACGGAGGAGCACGAAGGUUGGCUAAUCCUGGUCGGACAUCAGGAGGUUAGUGCAAUGGCAUAAGCCAGCUUGACUGCGAGCGUGACGGCGCGAGCAGGUGCGAAAGCAGGUCAUAGUGAUCCGGUGGUUCUGAAUGGAAGGGCCAUCGCUCAACGGAUAAAAGGUACUCCGGGGAUAACAGGCUGAUACCGCCCAAGAGUUCAUAUCGACGGCGGUGUUUGGCACCUCGAUGUCGGCUCAUCACAUCCUGGGGCUGAAGUAGGUCCCAAGGGUAUGGCUGUUCGCCAUUUAAAGUGGUACGCGAGCUGGGUUUAGAACGUCGUGAGACAGUUCGGUCCCUAUCUGCCGUGGGCGCUGGAGAACUGAGGGGGGCUGCUCCUAGUACGAGAGGACCGGAGUGGACGCAUCACUGGUGUUCGGGUUGUCAUGCCAAUGGCACUGCCCGGUAGCUAAAUGCGGAAGAGAUAAGUGCUGAAAGCAUCUAAGCACGAAACUUGCCCCGAGAUGAGUUCUCCCUGAGACUUAGAGUCUCCUGAAGGAACGUUGAAGACGACGACGUUGAUAGGCCGGGUGUGUAAGCGCAGCGAUGCGUUGAGCUAACCGGUACUAAUGAACCGUGAGGCUUAACCUU